UACGUAGGGACCGAGCGUUGUCCGGAAUCAUUGGGCGUAAAGAGCGUGUAGGCGGCCACUUAAGUCCUGCGUGAAAUCUUGCGGCUCAACCGCAAGCGGUCGUGGGAAACUGGGUGGCUAGAGUGCGGGAGAGGAGAGUGGAACUCCUGGUGUAGCGGUGGAAUGCGCAGAUAUCAGGAAGAACACCCGUGGCGAAGGCGGCUCUCUGGAACGCAACUGACGCUGAGACGCGAAAGCGUGGGGAGCAAACAGG
Molecule: ribosomal RNA, 253 nt
Filed under: uncultured bacterium
Lineage: Bacteria
Description: partial 16S ribosomal RNA
Rfam family: Bacterial small subunit ribosomal RNA
Source: RNAcentral